This 876-nucleotide ribosomal RNA is filed under the name uncultured bacterium. RNAcentral's name for it is "bacterial SSU rRNA". It matches the Rfam family "Bacterial small subunit ribosomal RNA", at positions 51 to 919 of the family's 1533-position model. The record is from RNAcentral.
ACACAUGCAAGUCGAGGGGCAGCAUGGUCUUAGCUUGCUAAGGCCGAUGGCGACCGGCGCACGGGUGAGUAACGCGUAUCCAACCUGCCUUACACUCUUGGACAGCCUUCUGAAAGGGAGAUUAAUACAAGAUGUUAUCAUGAGUAAGCAUUUUCGCAUGAUUAAAGGUUUACCGGUGUAAGAUGGGGAUGCGUUCCAUUAGAUAGUAGGCGGGGUAACGGCCCACCUAGUCUUCGAUGGAUAGGGGUUCUGAGAGGAAGGUCCCCCACAUUGGAACUGAGACACGGUCCAAACUCCUACGGGAGGCAGCAGUGAGGAAUAUUGGUCAAUGGACGAGAGUCUGAACCAGCCAAGUAGCGUGAAGGAUAAAGGUUCUAUGGAUUGUAAACUUCUUUUAUACGGGAAUAAACGGAUCCACGUGUGGAUUUUUGCAUGUACCGUAUGAAUAAGGAUCGGCUAACUCCGUGCCAGCAGCCGCGGUAAUACGGAGGAUCCGAGCGUUAUCCGGAUUUAUUGGGUUUAAAGGGAGCGUAGAUGGGUUGUUAAGUCAGUUGUGAAAGUUUGCGGCUCAACCGUAAAAUUGCAAUUGAUACUGGCAGUCUUGAGUACAGUUGAGGUAGGCGGAAUUCGUGGUGUAGCGGUGAAAUGCUUAGAUAUCACGAAGAACUCCGAUUGCGAAGGCAGCUUACUAACCUGUAACUGACAUUGAUGCUCGAAAGUGUGGGUAUCAAACAGGAUUAGAUACCCUGGUAGUCCACACGGUAAACGAUGAAUACUCGCUGUAGGCGAUAUACAGUCUGCGGCCAAGCGAAAGCAUUAAGUAUUCCACCUGGGGAGUACGCCGGCAACGGUGAAACUCAAAGGAAUUGACGGGGG